Non-coding RNA from Heliocybe sulcata, 93 nucleotides. NCBI's taxonomy places the organism in Eukaryota, Fungi, Basidiomycota, Agaricomycetes, Gloeophyllales, Gloeophyllaceae. The record is from the annotation of a GenBank genome assembly.
CCUUCGGUAGCUCAGUUGGAAGAGCGUCAGACUGUAAUGGAAAUCACGUGACUGCGCAUCUGGCUGUCGCUGGUUCGAUCCCGGCCCGAAGGA